AAAACAAGCCGUCUUAUCGUCCUGACAUUUACCGUCAUGGGAGGAAAGUCCGGACACCAUAGUGCAGCAUAGCGGGUAACGCCCGUCAUCCUGAUAAAUAAUUGGGAUUGGACCAGUGCAACAGAAAGCAAGUACAGUUAGGCUGUAGUGAAAUCAGGUAAACUCUAUGCGGUGCAAUACCAUGUAAACCAAGGCUUGAAAGCGGCACGCUUGAUCUUGGAGGGUUGGUAGCUUGAUCCCGAUAGUAAUAUUGGGGCUAGAUAAAUGAUAAGAGUUCACUUCGGUGGAAACAGAAUCCGGCUUAUAGGCUUGUUUUUUUU
This 320-nucleotide RNase P RNA is filed under the name Mesohalobacter salilacus. RNAcentral describes it as "Flavobacteriaceae bacterium 14752 RNase P RNA component class A". It matches the Rfam family "Bacterial RNase P class A". Rfam says of the family: Ribonuclease P (RNase P) is a ubiquitous endoribonuclease, found in archaea, bacteria and eukarya as well as chloroplasts and mitochondria. Lineage: Bacteria; Pseudomonadati; Bacteroidota; Flavobacteriia; Flavobacteriales; Flavobacteriaceae. The record is from RNAcentral.